CGGCACCAUGGAGGAGUAUGAAAUCGAUAGAGCUGUGAAUUCCUACACUAACAUCAUAUUCCCAUGUCUAGUCAAGAAGAUGUGUUUGGAAGGUGGUUUACAUAUGUGGAUAACUUCAAAGUGAUUCAUCGUACUAUAAAAUUGAGGAUGAUUCGAGAUUUGAUGAACCCAGUUUCGAGGGCAAAGGUUGCAACUAGUCCUGUGUUACUUCAAAGUGUUUUUUAG
RNAcentral lists this long non-coding RNA (225 nucleotides) under Capsicum annuum. RNAcentral's name for it is "long non-coding RNA (CANN_LNC005480)". Lineage: Eukaryota; Viridiplantae; Streptophyta; Magnoliopsida; Solanales; Solanaceae. The record is from RNAcentral.